CUGGAUGCUCUGGUUUUCUCCCACCCCUCAAAGAGGUGCAUGUUCAGUUCACCGGCAUGUCUACAUGGUCCUGGUGUGAGUGUGGGGUGUGUGUGAGUGUGCCCUGCGAUGUGACAGUGUCCUGUUCAGGGCUGGUUCUUACUUUAAGCCCUGAGCUGCUGGAAUGAGCUACAGCAACCGGAGACUGGAGACUCCGGCAACCUAGAGAACUGUUAUUAUUGACGUCAGCCCAAGAAGAAUGCAAUGUCCAGGAAGCUACCAAAGGAAUAAAACUACAUGAGCACAUACUUCUCUUCCAAUUCAAGAGUGGCCCGCCUUAUCCCUUCACAGGCUGACUUCCCAUCUUACUGUGGCAGCCUCUGCUGCUGUUACCUGCUUGAGGCUUUCUUAUUGUGGGCCUCCCACUCGUGUUUCCGAUUGAGGAAGCCUUCCAUCUGGGCCGAAGGUGUCUCCUGGGUUCUGGCUGGGACAGCGGAGAGGCCAUUCAGCUAACUCCGUGAGCCAUGGGGGUGACCACAUACGCUCUACCUGACUCGCACAUGUGGCUGUGUAUAAAUGCCUGGCACAGAUCGAGGCAGUACAGUAAAACCAUUGCACACCCACAAAGCCAGCUGGACAUCAAGGACAUUAGAAGGUGGGAAUGGAUUAAUACCCGCCCAUUUACAGGGAAAUGAGAAAAGCGAAAUGCCAGUAUGAGUUUUACUGCACUCUAUUCCUCUGAUCAAUAAAUAUAACUCAGAUCA
Homo sapiens (human) is the source of this 743-nucleotide long non-coding RNA. RefSeq annotates it as SPTBN1 antisense RNA 2. Lineage: Eukaryota; Metazoa; Chordata; Mammalia; Primates; Hominidae. The record is from RefSeq and is marked validated. The transcript has 3 exons.